AGAGUUUGAUCCUGGCUCAGGACGAACGCUGGCGGCGUGGAUUAGGCAUGCAAGUCGAACGCGAAAGUUUCCCUUCGGGGGAAUGAGUAGAGUGGCGGACGGGUGAGUAACGCGUAGGUAUCUGCCUUUAAGUGGGGGAUAGCCCCGGGAAACCGGGAUUAAUACCGCAUGUGGAACUUCGGUUCUAAAGAUGGCCUCUGUUUCAAGCUAUCGCUUAGAGAUGAGCCUGCGUCCUAUUAGCUAGUUGGUAAGGUAACGGCUUACCAAGGCGAUGAUAGGUAGGCGGCUUUAACGAGUGGUCGCCCACACUGGGAUUGAGAUACGGCCCAGACUCCUACGGGAGGCAGCAGUCGAGAAUAGUCUACAAUGGAGGAAACUCUGAUAGUGCGACGCCGCGUGGAUGAAGAAGCAUUUCGGUGUGUAAAAUCCUUUUCUUUGUGAGCAAUGCCUGUAUGAUUAAUAGUUUUACAGGAGAGAUAUUAGCAGAGGAAUAAGCUCCGGCUAACUCCGUGCCAGCAGCCGCGGUAACACGGGGGGAGCAAGCGUUGUCCGGAAUUACUAGGCGUAAAGGGCAAGUAGGCGGAAUUGUAAGUCAGAUGUUAAAGGCACCGGCUCAACCGGUGUACGGCAUUUGAUACUGUAAUUCUAGAGUAAGGUGGGGGAAGAUGGAAUUCCUGGUGUAGCGGUGGAAUGCGCAGAUAUCAGGAAGAACACCAGAGGCGAAGGCGAUCUUCUAUACCAUUACUGACGCUAAAUUGCGAAGGUGUGGGUAUCAAACAGGAUUAGAUACCCUGGUAGUCCACACAGUAAACGAUAUACACUAGGUGUUGGGGGAGAUGAUCUUUCAGUGCCGUAGCUAACGCGUUAAGUGUAUCGCCUGGGGAGUACGGUCGCAAGAUUAAAACUCAAAGGAAUUGACGGGGGCCCGCACAAGCGGUGGAGCAUGUGGUUUAAUUCGAU
Molecule: ribosomal RNA, 960 nt
Filed under: marine sediment metagenome
Description: bacterial SSU rRNA
Rfam family: Bacterial small subunit ribosomal RNA
Source: RNAcentral